RNAcentral lists this long non-coding RNA (1442 nucleotides) under Canis lupus familiaris (dog). RNAcentral's name for it is "lncRNA (ENSCAFG00000050950.1)". Lineage: Eukaryota; Metazoa; Chordata; Mammalia; Carnivora; Canidae. The record is from RNAcentral.
GUGAUGCUGUCUGGCCCUGGACUAUUCGCAAAAAGAAUAUUUUUAUGGACUCCUCUGGGAAAAGAAUGGAAAGCCAGAGAAUCUUCCCUUGUCCAGGGACUUCUGAGGGGUAUAAGUGAGAUAGAGUUGGGGUAUGUGUGUGGCAUUUCAAGUGGCCUGACAUUUUCCUAAAAGGACAGUUCCUUUGGUUCUCACCUCUCACACCACACUCUUUUCUGAGCAGUAGUUCUGAGGGAUUGUCUGUCUAUGAGCAUCGUUCUCAGGCUACUGGAUCCCACCUUCCCAAAGACCCAGACUCAGGUCUUUUAGAGGAGAAGCCUUGGUGUUGGGAAGAAAGCAAGGAGGGGGGGAAGGGGAAGAGGGACUGUUUCAACCAGACAGAAGUUCUUUGUUUGCUCUGCUUCUUUGUAAAUGAGGCAAUAUUUGGAAACAACAAAUAUUGGUUCAGAGAGCCAAUGCAUUCCUGCCCAUCCCUUUAGGUCAGCAAUCCUACCCCCCCUCCCCCCCGGCACGUACACACAAGUUCAGCUCUUUCUAUAAGAGAGCAAAUCCCACUGAAAUUUAAAAGUUUUAUUAGUUUAUGGUGGAAGAUUUGUGUCAUGACUUGGUUUGGUCUAUAACUGGAAGCUCUCUUCAUCCCCACCCCCCCUUAUCUCCUUCCUUCCCUUCUUCCCUUCAUUGCUCCCUUCCUUUUCUGGAUAAAGAGAAGAUGAAUAUCCAGAGGGUAGCUGUGAUCUAGAGAAGGCUGGGAUUUCAGAGAUUUGAGUUCAGGUCCCAGAGCUCUGUGAAGGAGACCUGUCCUUUUAGUGUGGUGUUCAUAUUUGAAAAAUGGAGAACUGAUCUCAUCUCUCAAGGUAGUUGGUCAAGAUCACAGAGAUCUUGCCCCAGAACAGUGCCUGGCACCUGGAAGAACUGGAAAUGUGAUACUUUCCCUCCAUGUGAGCAUAAUAAACUGGUACAUGCCUGAGGUUCUGCAGAGUGGUACUUAGCCAACUCCCAAAGGGACAAGCCCCUCUGUAAACUGAAAUGUGGAGUUGUGUGUCUGUGAAGGAAUGGCAGGGCUCAGAGUGCCCUAUCUGUCCCUCUCAGUGUGAGCCCAGAUGAGCCUUAUUUCCUGGGAGGGACCGUGUCCCUGGCGGAUGAGUACAUGCGCUCUGGAACCAGACUGCUUGAUUUUGCAUCUGACUCACCAGUUGAUUUUGGACAAGUUAUUAACCCCUCAGGGCCUCAGUUUCCUUCUCUUAUCUUUAAAAUGGGGAUUCUAGCACACUGGCCAGAAGGUGCUCCCUCUGAGGUGCUCAAGGCUUGGCUGUGGGCCUGUCCCUGGAAGAGUUGCCUCAGGAAAGGCUCACUAACCCCUCUGGUAUGAGAGUAAGAGCAGUAGGGGCCUGGGGGCAAGAAUCAUGGUCCAUUUGCCUUCCAUACCCUCCACAGAGCUUCCC